GCGUGAAUAGCUCAGCUGGUAGAGCGCAACCUUGCCAAGGUUGAGGUCGCGAGUUCGAACCUCGUUUCACGCUCCA
This 76-nucleotide transfer RNA is filed under the name beta proteobacterium KB13. RNAcentral's name for it is "tRNA-Gly". It matches the Rfam family "tRNA". From Rfam's summary of the family: Transfer RNA (tRNA) molecules are approximately 80 nucleotides in length. Their secondary structure includes four short double-helical elements and three loops (D, anti-codon, and T loops). Lineage: Bacteria; Pseudomonadati; Pseudomonadota; Betaproteobacteria; Nitrosomonadales. The record is from RNAcentral. RNAcentral also lists the same sequence under 7 other names.